GACGAACGCUGGCGGCGUGCUUAACACAUGCAAGUCGAACGGAAAGGCCCUGCUUGCAGGGUACUCGAGUGGCGAACGGGUGAGUAACACGUGGGUGAUCUGCCCUGCACUUCGGGAUAAGCUUGGGAAACUGGGUCUAAUACCGGAUAGGAGCCAUCCUUAGUGUGGUGGUUGGAAAGUUUUUUCGGUGUAGGAUGAGCUCGCGGCCUAUCAGCUUGUUGGUGGGGUAAUGGCCUACCAAGGCGGCGACGGGUAGCCGGCCUGAGAGGGUGUACGGCCACAUUGGGACUGAGAUACGGCCCAGACUCCUACGGGAGGCAGCAGUGGGGAAUAUUGCACAAUGGGCGCAAGCCUGAUGCAGCGACGCCGCGUGGGGGAUGAAGGCCUUCGGGUUGUAAACUCCUUUCGCUAGGGACGAAGCUUUUUUGUGACGGUACCUAGAGAAGAAGCACCGGCUAACUACGUG
Molecule: ribosomal RNA, 466 nt
Filed under: uncultured bacterium
Lineage: Bacteria
Description: partial 16S ribosomal RNA
Rfam family: Bacterial small subunit ribosomal RNA
Source: RNAcentral